UACGUAGGUGGCAAGCGUUGUCCGGAAUUAUUGGGCGUAAAGGGCGUGUAGGCGGUUAAUUAAGUCAGUUGUGAAAACUGCGGGCUCAGCCCGGAGAUUGCAGUUGAUACUGGUUAACUUGAGUACAGGAGAGGACAGUGGAAUUCCUAGUGUAAGCGGUGAAAUGCGUAGAUAUUAGGAGGAACACCAGUGGCGAAGGCGGCUGUCUGGACUGUAACUGACGCUGAGGCGCGAAAGCGUGGGUAGCAAACAGGAUUAGAUACCCCUGUAGGU
RNAcentral lists this ribosomal RNA (273 nucleotides) under uncultured prokaryote. Its description in RNAcentral is "partial 16S ribosomal RNA". It matches the Rfam family "Bacterial small subunit ribosomal RNA", at positions 524 to 794 of the family's 1533-position model. The record is from RNAcentral.